GACGAACGCUGGCGGCGUGCUUAACACAUGCAAGUCGAACGGAAAGGCCCCUUUGGGGGUACUCGAGUGGCGAACGGGUGAGUAACACGUGAGUAACCUGCCCUUGACUUCGGGAUAACUUCAGGAAACUGGGGCUAAUACCGGAUAGGAAUCCUUGCUGCAUGGUGGGGGUUGGAAAGCUUCGGCGGUUUUGGAUGGACUCGCGGCUUAUCAGCUUGUUGGUGGGGUAGUGGCUUACCAAGGCUUUGACGGGUAGCCGGCCUGAGAGGGCGACCGGCCACAUUGGGACUGAGAGACGGCCCAGACUCCGACGGGAGGCAGCAGUGGGGAAUAUUGCACAAUGGGCGGAAGUCUGAUGCAGCAACGCCGCGGGCGGGAUGACGGCCUUCGGGUUGUAAACCGCUUUCAGCAGGGGCGAAGCUUGUGGUGACGGUACCUGCAGAAGAAGCACCGGCUAACUACGUG
Molecule: ribosomal RNA, 465 nt
Filed under: uncultured bacterium
Lineage: Bacteria
Description: partial 16S ribosomal RNA
Rfam family: Bacterial small subunit ribosomal RNA
Source: RNAcentral